GUGCAUAAUAAAAUUUCUCAAAUUUAAAUAUUUAAUUUAAUUAAUAUUAAAAAGAUACUUUAAUUAAUUAGUUUAGCAUAAGGUCUUUAUUUAUUUCUGUGCUGUGUGGUGUUCUUAUUUGAUAGUUAGAUUUUAGCAAUGGCUUACACAGAAGCUGCAGCGGACCUCCUCGAUUUCCAUAAUAAGAGUCAGGGUACAUUUUAAUUGAUAAUGACGAAGAUGAUGGUAUAAUAUAACAACCCUCAUGAUGUGGCAGUGUCAGUUCAAAAUCGUUUGAUUAUGGGAGAGAUGUAGGAUGCAUCAUAUUUAUAAUGUUUUUUAAUACAUAUAAUAAAUAUUCAUAUUUUUCCAA
Chrysoperla carnea is the source of this 352-nucleotide long non-coding RNA. RefSeq lists it as uncharacterized. The record is from RefSeq and is a predicted model, not a curated record. The transcript is spliced from 2 exons. NCBI's taxonomy places the organism in Eukaryota, Metazoa, Arthropoda, Insecta, Neuroptera, Chrysopidae.